RNAcentral lists this ribosomal RNA (460 nucleotides) under uncultured bacterium. RNAcentral's name for it is "partial 16S ribosomal RNA". It matches the Rfam family "Bacterial small subunit ribosomal RNA", at positions 338 to 795 of the family's 1533-position model. The record is from RNAcentral.
CCUACGGGUGGCAGCAGUGAGGAAUAUUGGUCAAUGGACGCAAGUCUGAACCAGCCAAGCCGCGUGCAGGAGGACGGCUCUAUGAGUUGUAAACUGCUUUUGUACGAGGGUAAACCCCGGUACGUGUAUCCGGUUGAGAGUACCGUACGAAUAAGCAUCGGCUAACUCCGUGCCAGCAGCCGCGGUAAUACGGAGGAUCCGAGCGUUAUCCGGAUUUAUUGGGUUUAAAGGGUGCGUAGGCGGUUUGAUAAGUGAGAGGUGAAAUGUCGGGGCUCAACCCCGACACUGCCUCUAAUACUGUUGGACUAGAGAAUAGUUGCGGUAGGCGGAAUGUAUGGUGUAGCGGUGAAAUGCUUAGAGAUCAUACAGAACUCCGAUUGCGAAGGCAGUUCACUGCACUGCAACUGACACUGAGGCUCGAAAGUGUGGGUAUCAAACAGGAUUAGAUACCCUUGUAGUC